ACUACAUGUACAGGAUAGGUGGGAGGCUUUGAAACCAGGACGCCAGUUUUGGCGGAGCCAUCCUUGGGAUACCACCCUUGUAGUACUGGGACUCUAACCAUAGGCCAUGAAUCUGGUCUUGGGACACUGUCAGGUGGGCAGUUUGACUGGGGCGGUCGCCUCCCAAAAGGUAACGGAGGCGCUCAAAGGUUCUCUCAGUACGGUCGGAAAUCGUACGUAGAGUGUAAAGGCAAAAGAGGGCUUGAUUGCAAGACAUACAGGUCGAGCAAGGAUGAAAAGCGGACUUAGUGAUCCGGUGGUUCUGCGUGGAAGGGCCAUCGCUCAACGGAUAAAAGCUACCCUGGGGAUAACAGGCUUAUCUCCCCCAAGAGUCCACAUCGACGGGGAGGUUUGGCACCUCGAUGUCGGCUCAUCACAUCCUGGGGCUGUAGUAGGUCCCCAGGGUUGGGCUGUUCGCCCAUUAAAGUGGUACGCGAGCUGGGUUCAGAACGUCGUGAGACAGUUCGGUCCCUAUCCGUCGCAGGCGUAGGAAAUUUGAG
This 539-nucleotide ribosomal RNA is filed under the name Clostridioides difficile. RNAcentral's name for it is "bacterial LSU rRNA". It matches the Rfam family "Bacterial large subunit ribosomal RNA", at positions 2129 to 2666 of the family's 2925-position model. Lineage: Bacteria; Bacillati; Bacillota; Clostridia; Peptostreptococcales; Peptostreptococcaceae. The record is from RNAcentral.